GCCGGAGUAGCUCAGUGGCAGAGCAGCUGUUUCGUAAACAGCAGGCCGCGAGUUCGAAUCUCGCCUCCGGCUCAA
This 75-nucleotide transfer RNA is filed under the name Candidatus Jorgensenbacteria bacterium CG10_big_fil_rev_8_21_14_0_10_54_38. RNAcentral describes it as "tRNA-Thr". It matches the Rfam family "tRNA". Rfam says of the family: Transfer RNA (tRNA) molecules are approximately 80 nucleotides in length. Their secondary structure includes four short double-helical elements and three loops (D, anti-codon, and T loops). Lineage: Bacteria; Candidatus Joergenseniibacteriota. RNAcentral also lists the same sequence under 1 other name. The record is from RNAcentral.